This 498-nucleotide ribosomal RNA is filed under the name uncultured bacterium. RNAcentral's name for it is "partial 16S ribosomal RNA". It matches the Rfam family "Bacterial small subunit ribosomal RNA", at positions 30 to 523 of the family's 1533-position model. The record is from RNAcentral.
AUUGAACGCUGGCGGCAUGCCUUGCACAUGCAAGUCGAACGGUAACAGGUCUUCGGAUGCUGACGAGUGGCGAACGGGUGAGUAAUACAUCGGAACGUGCCUAGUAGUGGGGGAUAACUACUCGAAAGAGUGGCUAAUACCGCAUGAGAUCUACGGAUGAAAGCAGGGGAUCGCAAGACCUUGUGCUACUAGAGCGGCCGAUGGCAGAUUAGGUAGAUGGAGGGAUAAAAGCUUACCAAGCCGACGAUCUGUAGCUGGUCUGAGAGGACGAUCAGCCACACUGGGACUGAGACACGGCCCAGACUCCUACGGGAGGCAGCAGUGGGGAAUUUUGGACAAUGGGCGCAAGCCUGAUCCAGCAAUGCCGCGUGCAGGAUGAAGGCCUUCGGGUUGUAAACUGCUUUUGUACGGAACGAAAAGCCCCGGGUUAAUACCCUGGGGUCAUGACGGUACCGUAAGAAUAAGCACCGGCUAACUACGUGCCAGCCGCCGCGGUAA